GUUUUAAUAAUUUAAUAAAAAUAUUGGUCUUGUAAAUCAAAAAUAAGUAAUAAACUUUUAAAAUU
Molecule: transfer RNA, 65 nt
Filed under: Eusphalerum torquatum
Lineage: Eukaryota; Metazoa; Arthropoda; Insecta; Coleoptera; Staphylinidae
Description: tRNA-Thr
Source: RNAcentral